This 425-nucleotide ribosomal RNA is filed under the name uncultured bacterium. RNAcentral's name for it is "bacterial SSU rRNA". It matches the Rfam family "Bacterial small subunit ribosomal RNA", at positions 64 to 484 of the family's 1533-position model. The record is from RNAcentral.
GAGCGGUAGAGAGAAGCUUGCUUCUCUUGAGAGCGGCGGACGGGUGAGUAAUGCCUAGGAAUCUGCCUGGUAGUGGGGGAUAACGCUCGGAAACGGACGCUAAUACCGCAUACGUCCUACGGGAGAAAGCAGGGGACCUUCGGGCCUUGCGCUAUCAGAUGAGCCUAGGUCGGAUUAGCUAGUUGGUGAGGUAAUGGCUCACCAAGGCGACGAUCCGUAACUGGUCUGAGAGGAUGAUCAGUCACACUGGAACUGAGACACGGUCCAGACUCCUACGGGAGGCAGCAGUGGGGAAUAUUGGACAAUGGGCGAAAGCCUGAUCCAGCCAUGCCGCGUGUGUGAAGAAGGUCUUCGGAUUGUAAAGCACUUUAAGUUGGGAGGAAGGGCAUUAACCUAAUACGUUGGUGUCUUGACGUUACCGACAG